UACGAAGGGGGCUAGCGUUGCUCGGAAUCACUGGGCGUAAAGCGCACGUAGGCGGAUUGCUAAGUCAGGGGUGAAAUCCUGGAGCUCAACUCCAGAACUGCCUUUGAUACUGGCGACCUUGAGUCCGGGAGAGGUGAGUGGAACUGCGAGUGUAGAGGUGAAAUUCGUAGAUAUUCGCAAGAACACCAGUGGCGAAGGCGGCUCACUGGCCCGGUACUGACGCUGAGGAACGAAAGCCAGGGUAGCGAACGGG
RNAcentral lists this ribosomal RNA (253 nucleotides) under uncultured bacterium. Its description in RNAcentral is "partial 16S ribosomal RNA". It matches the Rfam family "Bacterial small subunit ribosomal RNA", at positions 524 to 776 of the family's 1533-position model. The record is from RNAcentral.